UUCAAAUACAACCAUAGGAAAUAGACCUAUUUGCAAUAUCCAACAUGCCAACACCAAUAUAAUCCACAUACAUUUUCAACUUCGAAGAACGUUCCUUUCAAUAUUAUGAAAUCUCCUUAGCUUACUCCAAUACUAAAUCAACGUACAAAUCCCACUCUAAUAAUUAGCAGCAAAACCAAAAGUAUGAUCACAUCAAAACCCACAUCAAAUUUGAACUUUUAAAUCAUUUAAAUAAUAUCUGAACAUGGUAUACUCGAUAUGCCAUUGUUGACCUACACUUAUCUUAGGUCAAACCUCUUUUUUUAUCAUGAUCAAAGACAAUUUAUACUUUCUUUCCACACUCAUCGAAAACCAAACCCGAUGCAUACAUUUUAUCACAAUGCCCAGUAAUCUUACACCUUAAGCACUGAAUUUAAUUAUCAUGUCCCAAGUGAUCAUAACCUUAAGCUAUGAUAUAUUUCUAUCACAAUCCCUAGUGUUCUUAAACAUAUGCUCAGAUUCCAAUUUGUCACAUUUUCCAAUAAUCUUAAACCUCAAAUUUUAAUGCCACUAAGGCCACAGUCCCUAGUGGUCUUAAACCUUAGAUUAUAAUAUCAUUCCUGUUACAAUCUCAAAUGAUUAUAAACCAAGACUCUGAUAGUUUUUCUAUCAUAAUUCUCCACUCACACUCACCUGAACAUAAACCCUGGGAUACCUAAACCUGG
Molecule: long non-coding RNA, 704 nt
Filed under: Phoenix dactylifera (date palm)
Lineage: Eukaryota; Viridiplantae; Streptophyta; Magnoliopsida; Arecales; Arecaceae
Description: long non-coding RNA (PDAC_LNC003312)
Source: RNAcentral